Small nuclear RNA from Gopherus flavomarginatus (Mexican gopher tortoise), 200 nucleotides. RefSeq annotates it as U2 spliceosomal RNA. NCBI's taxonomy places the organism in Eukaryota, Metazoa, Chordata, Testudines, Testudinidae. The record is from RefSeq and is a predicted model, not a curated record. The transcript has a single exon.
UUAGCUUCUCGGCUCCUUGGAGCUAAGAUCAAGUGUAGUAUCUGGGACAACAGAUAUUAAUGGAUGAGGAAAAUCCAUGAAUUCCAAGGAAGCAGAAUUUCUUUAAAACAUUCCCUAGAAUCAAACAGUUUUUUUUUAAACGCUUGCUUGCCUAUCUGUAGGGGUUUGUGUGAAUUUUUAGUAUGUAGAACCCAUGUAGA